GAAUGUCGGCCAAUACCGAAAAUCUUGUUUUAAACAGAGUUUCACUCCGCCCUCCAAUGAAAGUCAUCGCACUGCUUUCUCUCCGUCUCCUAGCUUCUGGUCCGGAGA
Molecule: non-coding RNA, 108 nt
Organism: Caenorhabditis elegans
Lineage: Eukaryota; Metazoa; Nematoda; Chromadorea; Rhabditida; Rhabditidae
Source: Ensembl